Molecule: ribosomal RNA, 589 nt
Filed under: Enterococcus sp.
Lineage: Bacteria; Bacillati; Bacillota; Bacilli; Lactobacillales; Enterococcaceae
Description: bacterial SSU rRNA
Rfam family: Bacterial small subunit ribosomal RNA
Source: RNAcentral
UUUUAUGAGAGUUUGAUCCUGGCUCAGGACGAACGCUGGCGGCGUGCCUAAUACAUGCAAGUCGUACGCUUCUUUUUCCACCGGAGCUUGCUCCACCGGAAAAAGAAGAGUGGCGAACGGGUGAGUAACACGUGGGUAACCUGCCCAUCAGAAGGGGAUAACACUUGGAAACAGGUGCUAAUACCGUAUAACAAUCAAAACCGCAUGGUUUUGAUUUGAAAGGCGCUUUCGGGUGUCGCUGAUGGAUGGACCCGCGGUGCAUUAGCUAGUUGGUGAGGUAACGGCUCACCAAGGCCACGAUGCAUAGCCGACCUGAGAGGGUGAUCGGCCACAUUGGGACUGAGACACGGCCCAAACUCCUACGGGAGGCAGCAGUAGGGAAUCUUCGGCAAUGGACGAAAGUCUGACCGAGCAACGCCGCGUGAGUGAAGAAGGUUUUCGGAUCGUAAAACUCUGUUGUUAGAGAAGAACAAGGAUGAGAGUAACUGUUCAUCCCUUGACGGUAUCUAACCAGAAAGCCACGGCUAACUACGUGCCAGCAGCCGCGGUAAUACGUAGGUGGCAAGCGUUGUCCGGAUUUAUUGGGCGU